CCCUUCUAUAAUAUUUCUGUUAAGAGAUUUGUUAUCUAUUACAGAUCACAUUUCUUCAGUAAUUCUGAAAUUAAGAAACUGUUUAAAGGGUCAAUUUAUUUAGUGACUGAAGUCAACCUUCUAGUUGCAUAUUGAGUAUCUUGUCCUUGUUUGUUACUGAUGCUUAUGUGCCAUGGAUUUUUCUGUGGUACCACUCACUAUAUGUUAGAGGUUGGCUUGAGGAUGACCUAGCUAUGCAUUGGCAUGAGUUAGUUUAGCAUUAAAAAAAAUUUAUAUAUGGAUUGUGUUGCAUUUUAGAGCAAGUCCAUCAUAGUAAAUUUACAUAAAAGAUCAUAUCCUUUUCUUUGUUCUUAUCUACACCUGUCAAUACUUCUUUAUUGUGUGGGCUGACAUACUUUGGUGCCUAGGCCAAUAGUUGGUGCUUCACUCUCUUGUUUGAGGGCUUUUAUAUUAUUCGUCCUCCCAUGUUCAAUGGGACGGACUACACUUAUUGGAAAACUCUCAUCUGUUUUCUAUGGAUUUGAAUUUAUAGAAUAUUAUCGAAAGCAGUUUUCAAAAGUCUUAUACUCCAAUGAACGAAUGGAAUGAUUUGGAGAAGAAAACUUUUUCUUUAAAUACUCGAGCUAUGAAUGCUCUAUUUUGCGCCUUAGAUAAAAAUGAAUUCAAUCGGGUUUCUACUUGUGAAACGACUUUUGACAUUUAACACACACUUAAAAUCACACAUGAAGGCACUAGUAGAGUUAAAGACUCUAAAAGAAAUAUUUUGAUGCAUGAUUUUGAGUUGUUUCGUAUGAAGCCAAGUGAAACUAUUGGUGACAUGUACACCCGUUUUACGGAUGUCGUCAAUAGUUUAAAAGCUCUUGGCAAAUGUUUUUCGAAUUUUGAACUUGUUAAUAAAGUUUUAUGAUCGUUUUCUAAAAAUUGGGAUUCGAAAAUAACGACUAUUCAAGAAUCUAAGAACUUGAACCAUUUUCCACUCGAAGAACUUAUUGGGUCUUUAAUGACCUAUGAAAUGAAUUGUAUGACACAUAUUGAACAUGAUGAACUUGAGAAAACCUUCCAAAGAACAGAAAAAUUUUGACACUUAGAACAAAUGAAGACCAUUUGAGCGAAAGCUCAAGUGAUGAUGACUUUGAACUCUUGACUAUAAAGCUUAAAAAAUUCUUAAAACAAGAAUCUAAGAACAAAAAUAAAAGGAAUGCGCAACUACUUGCUAUGAACGCAAGAAGAAUGAAGCACUUUGGGACAAAACGAGUACCUCCAAAGUCGAGGAGCAAAUCGAUGAAGACAAAGUGGCGAACUUCGCUUUGAUGACUCUCGACGAUGAGGUAACCAAAAUCCCUUUACUUUAUUUUGAAAUUACUAGAUGCAUUUCAUAUGUUGUUUUUAAAUUAGUAUAUAAAAUACAAAUAAAUAAAUAAAUAAAUAAAAGGGGAUCAUGCUUUUCUUUUGAAAAUGAUAAUGACAAUUGCAUGUUUUAUGAAAAUAUAACAAAAUGUUAGAUUUAAAUCUAAUGAUUAAUCCUAUAUAUGUUUUUAAGAAAAAAUAACGUGUGUCCUGAUGAUUUCCAUAUUGCUUUUCGAUUUUGAUUAAAAACGAUUUAUGUUUAAUGAAGUUAUGCUUGAUAAAAUAAUAUAAUGAUGAUUUGAAGUCACGCUUAAUGAGUUUAUAUUUCGAAAUUAUGCAUGAUGAUUUUUGUGAUUUAUGGCUUAUUGAUCUUUGUCAUAAUGAAAGUUACUUUUUCGGUUUUAAACGAUGAUGCUUGUUUUUGUUUGAUAUAAAUAACAAAGACAUGCUUGUAUGAAAUAAAUCACAUAAAUUGAAACAAUUAUAAAGAGGAAAGCAUUUUUCUUGAAAUUUUUUUUCUCUAUCUUAUCGAUUUUUCACUAAGAAAUUAAUGAAGUUAUUUAUGUCAUUUUGAAUCUCUUAAAAGUAAUUUUGAUAAUUUGACGAUUUGAAUUUGAAUGAGUUUUAUCUAAAUCAUGAUCUUGAUUUCUUGGAAUUACUUGAGAUUUUUUUUAAUCAAGAUCUCUUCUUUUUACUCUUACGAUUUUUCUUGGUAUUUUAUUUUAAGAGGAGAUUUACUAUAUGAAUUAUGAGAAUUAUGAUACAUGAAUCGAGGUCCUUUAUGUGUUCUCCCAUGACUCUAUUUGCUAUAAGAAAAUUUUUAUCUAUAUCAUGAUCGAUUUUGAAUUCUUGGAAUCAAAACUUAAUAUUUUCUUUAUAUGAAUCAAGACUUUUCAUUAUUCUCCUAUGAUUUUACUUGCUAUAUAUUUAAGAUGAGCUUUUCUAUAUAAAUCAUGAGAUUUCUUAUGCAUGAAUCGAGAUCAUUGAUUAUUUGUUCUUCUACAAUUCUUUUGUUGUUUACUAAAGAGAAUAUCUUUUUCGGAAUUCAUGACUUAAAAUUUCUAUUGAAGAUUUUUUACUAUUUGAUCUCCUAAGAUUUCCUUUUGAUUAUUUAAGAGGAGAUUUGUCAAAAUGAAUCAUGUCUUUUGGUAUUCACAUGAUCUCAUCUUUCAUGAUAUGAUUUUUUAUCCUUAAUGUGAUGAUAUGAAAUUAUGCAAUACUCAUGAUAUUAUGUUGAUUCAUACAAAUGAGAAGUUAAGAUUAUGCAUUGUAGGAUGUAAUGUAAUUUGAAAUUUUGAUACCAUCAUGAUUUGAAUUAUUUAUGAUUUGGAAUGAUGCAUACAAUGCUAUGAUUUGUUGCUCAUAUUCGAGUACUAAGAAUAUAACCAGCAAGAUGUUUAAGUCCAAAUUUGAAAGGAAAAUUCUUGAUUUGAACUAUGUCAUGUUGAAGUCCAUUAUCACCUGUUUUCAAAUUUGUCUCCUUUGCCUAUGUUUACCUUAAGCGACCAUACAUGCAAGUGAAGCUUUAUUGUCGAGGCUUUUUCAUUUUUAUUGAAGUCUAGGCUUAGAGUGGAAGGAGAGUGUUUUGAAGAGGUCCAUCAACUGUAAACUAUAGAGAUAAAUCACUUAUUUUGAUAUUAGAAAGAAGCCCUUCUAUAAUAUUUCUGUUGAGAGAUUUUUUAUCUAUUACAGAUCACUUUUCUUCAGUAAUUCUGAAAUUAAGCAACUGUUUAAAGGGUCAAUUUAUUUAGUGACUGAAGUCAACCUUCUAGUUGCAUAUUGAGUAUCUUGUCCUUGUUUGUUGCUGAUGCUUAUGUGCCAUGGAUUUUUCUGUGGUACCACUCACUAUAUGUUAGAGGUUGGCUUGAGGAUGACCUAACUAUACAUUGGCAUGAGUAAGUUCAGCAUUAAAAAUUUUUUAUAUAUGGAUUGUGUUGAAUUUUAGAGCAAGUCCAUCAUAGUAAAUUUACAUAAAAGAUCAUAUCCUUUUCUUUGUUCUUACCUACACCUGUCAAUACUUCUUCAUUGUGUGGGCUGACAGACUUUGGUGCCUAGGUCAGUAGUUGGUGCUUCACUCUCUUGUUUAAGAAACAAAAUAUGCAGGCCAUUCAUCAAUUGGAUAUGACAAGGUAGACUCAGUUUUCAAGCUACAAAUAGCAUAUCUGCUAGGUAGUUGGA
This 3525-nucleotide long non-coding RNA is filed under the name Musa acuminata (dwarf banana). RNAcentral's name for it is "long non-coding RNA (MACU_LNC007749)". The record is from RNAcentral. Lineage: Eukaryota; Viridiplantae; Streptophyta; Magnoliopsida; Zingiberales; Musaceae.